Molecule: microRNA precursor, 105 nt
Filed under: Canis lupus familiaris (dog)
Lineage: Eukaryota; Metazoa; Chordata; Mammalia; Carnivora; Canidae
Description: mir-8834 microRNA precursor family
Rfam family: mir-8834 microRNA precursor family
Source: Rfam by way of RNAcentral
GGGAGGAACAGCCCCAGUGGCGAGGCCAGCUCUGGAGCCCUGGAGUCAGCCCCCGCAGUAACUCCAGAGCUCUCCGUCUGCAGGGCCUGGAGGCUCCGGGGCGGG